This 267-nucleotide long non-coding RNA is filed under the name Elaeis guineensis (African oil palm). Its description in RNAcentral is "long non-coding RNA (EGUI_LNC029999)". The record is from RNAcentral. Lineage: Eukaryota; Viridiplantae; Streptophyta; Magnoliopsida; Arecales; Arecaceae.
GCAGACGGUGCACGGUCCGACCCUUGCAUUUGGCUUCCUUCUUGGCCGACCUUAGCUCGGACCCGAGCCGGGAGACUUCGUCUACCAACUUAGCCUCCCGGUCGGCCGACUGCUUUAGGUGGUCGACCAACAUUGCCCGAUCGGCUUCGGCCGCCGCCGACCUUUCCUUCCAAGCCGCCCGGACGUUCCCGAACCUCCAGUACCCGGCUUCAAGCUCCGACAUGGUGUAGAUCAGCUGCCGAUGCAAGCAUUUCGUCAGGAACACAC